ACGACACUGCUUCAGAAGGCGGCGGAGAUGGGCGCCACCUCGUCAAGCUCCUCGUUCCUGCGUGGGCUGGGCCCGGACAUCUCAUCGUCGUCGCCGGCGUCGACGUCGUCAGGUCAGCAUCAACAGCAGGAGCACCACCACCAGGAGCCCAUGCAAAUGCAGUUCCUGGAGGGGUCUCUACAACAAUGGUUGUCGCGGUUGGAGCCUGAGCCAACUCCGAUGAUGUCGGCCGGGCUGGGACUCGGGUUACCAUACGACUCUACCGGCGGUCUGAUGGGGUUGCCGGAGCUCAUGAUGGGCCAGUCAUCACUGUUCAGCGCCAAGCCGGCCACGCUGGACUUCCUGGGGCUCGGGAUGAGCCCCACCGGUGAAACGACGAGCAGGGGCCUCCCGUGUUCAUGCAGCCCAUGGGCGGCGUGGUCGGCAUGGCCCGGACUGGCGGCGGCGCGACAGAGACGUUCGGCUCCGGCCCGAGCGCUCAUGCCAAGCCGUGGGAGAGGAACCCGAGCAGCUCGCCGAUCCUGUGAAAGGACUGUUGGGCAGUAUCAACACGUA
RNAcentral lists this ribosomal RNA (555 nucleotides) under Triticum aestivum (bread wheat). Its description in RNAcentral is "partial small subunit ribosomal RNA". The record is from RNAcentral. Lineage: Eukaryota; Viridiplantae; Streptophyta; Magnoliopsida; Poales; Poaceae.